AAAAAAUCAGUGAAAAAGAGAGUAGUUCUUUGGGAAGUCGAAGCGAGUCAGGGAUGGUGGGAGCCUGAUACGAAGCAAAGAAUGAAGCGCACUUUUGAGAUGUUUGCCUGAAAAUAGUAGGGCAAACCGGAGUUGUUCUCCGUUAACAAGCCAAGCUGGUUCUUAUAGAACAAGUAGAGUGGUACCGCGAGUUAACUCUCGUCUCUUCA
Molecule: non-coding RNA, 209 nt
Filed under: Neobacillus niacini
Lineage: Bacteria; Bacillati; Bacillota; Bacilli; Caryophanales; Bacillaceae
Description: Bacillus niacini T-box sequence
Rfam family: T-box leader
About the family: Uncharged tRNA acts as the effector for transcription antitermination of genes in the T-box leader family. T-boxes are found upstream of many aminoacyl-tRNA synthetase genes and some amino acid biosynthetic genes usually in Gram-positive bacteria. The anticodon of a specific tRNA base pairs to a specifier sequence within the T-box motif, and the NCCA acceptor tail of the tRNA base pairs to a conserved bulge in the T-box antiterminator hairpin.
Source: RNAcentral